CAGCAGCCACGGUAAUACGAAGGGUGCAAGCGUUAAUCGGAAUUACUGGGCGUAAAGCGUGCGUAGGCGGUUUGUUAAGUCUGUUGUGAAAUCCCCGGGCUCAACCUGGGAAUGGCGAUGGAUACUGGCAAGCUAGAGUGUGUCAGAGGAUGGUGGAAUUCCCGGUGUAGCGGUGAAAUGCGUAGAGAUCGGGAGGAACAUCAGUGGCGAAGGCGGCCAUCUGGGACAACACUGACGCUGAGGCACGAAAGCGUGGGGAGCAAACAGGAUUAGAUACCCCUGUAGUCCCUGUCUCUUAUAC
RNAcentral lists this ribosomal RNA (301 nucleotides) under uncultured bacterium. Its description in RNAcentral is "partial 16S ribosomal RNA". It matches the Rfam family "Bacterial small subunit ribosomal RNA", at positions 509 to 807 of the family's 1533-position model. The record is from RNAcentral.